RNAcentral lists this ribosomal RNA (255 nucleotides) under uncultured bacterium. Its description in RNAcentral is "partial 16S ribosomal RNA". It matches the Rfam family "Bacterial small subunit ribosomal RNA", at positions 524 to 776 of the family's 1533-position model. The record is from RNAcentral.
UACGUAGGGUGCGAGCGUUGUCCGGAAUUACUGGGCGUAAAGAGCUCGUAGGUGGUUUGUCGCGUUGUUCGUGAAAACCGGGGGCUUAACCCUCGGCGUGCGGGCGAUACGGGCAGACUUGAGUACUGCAGGGGAGACUGGAAUUCCUGGUGUAGCGGUGGAAUGCGCAGAUAUCAGGAGGAACACCGGUGGCGAAGGCGGGUCUCUGGGCAGUAACUGACGCUGAGGAGCGAAAAGCGUGGGGGAGCGAACAGG